ACGUUGCGAUGAAGUGAGAGGUUACCGACACACCCGGCCCCUUUGCCAUGGCGGUGCGGUCGGAAAAUUUUCACGGAGUAUGUCCGAUCCAAAAUUGGGCGAUAA
Regulatory RNA element from Paenibacillus popilliae ATCC 14706, 105 nucleotides. It matches the Rfam family "S10-Clostridia ribosomal protein leader". NCBI's taxonomy places the organism in Bacteria, Bacillati, Bacillota, Bacilli, Caryophanales, Paenibacillaceae. The record is from Rfam.